AUUAAACGCUGGCGGCAUGCCUUACACAUGCAAGUCGAACGGCAGCACGGGGGCAACCUUGGUGGCGAGUGGCGAACGGGUGAGUAAAGCAUCGGAACGUGCCCUGGAGUGGGGGAUAACGUAGCGAAAGUUACGCUAAUACCGCAUAUUCUGUGAGCAGGAAAGCAGGGGAUCGCAAGACCUUGCGCUCUGGGAGCGGCCGAUGUCGGAUUAGCUAGUUGGUGGGGUAAAGGCCUACCAAGGCGACGAUCCGUAGCGGGUCUGAGAGGAUGAUCCGCCACACUGGGACUGAGACACGGCCCAGACUCCUACGGGAGGCAGCAGUGGGGAAUUUUGGACAAUGGGCGAAAGCCUGAUCCAGCCAUGCCGCGUGAGUGAAGAAGGCCCUCGGGUUGUAAAGCUCUUUCGGUGGGGAAGAAAUUGCAUAGGCUAAAUACCCUGUGUAGAUGACGGUACCUGGAGAAGAAGCACCGGCUAACUACGUGCCAGCAGCCGCGGUAAU
RNAcentral lists this ribosomal RNA (502 nucleotides) under uncultured bacterium. RNAcentral describes it as "bacterial SSU rRNA". It matches the Rfam family "Bacterial small subunit ribosomal RNA", at positions 29 to 524 of the family's 1533-position model. The record is from RNAcentral.